GCCAAUGUGCUCUCUCUCUCUUUCUCUUGCUCUCUCUCUCUCCCGCUCGCCCUGGGCCCCCUCCUCGCCUGCUCGCCUCCCUGAGCUCGGAUCCCGGGCGCUUCAGGCUCGGGAAGGUCCUCCGCAGCUGGCAGUGGCGGUGGCGAUGACGGCGGCGGAGAGGAUGCCGGAGGAGACCGGCCCGGUGCGCGGCGUCCCCGGCUCGCCGCUCCGCUGCGCGUUUUGCAUAAGGAGGGCUCGCCUAAGCCGGCCGGACUGCAGGCGGGGCGCGCGCAGCUGCUGCUCCGGGGCUGGGUGGCGCGGCGGGUGGCUGUCCCGGAGGCGCGGGCCUCGGCACCGGGGUAGUUAACACUUCACGGUUUUCUCCUCUUCUGCCUGACUCUUAUGAUUACUAUUAUUAUUUCUCUUUUCUCUCUCCGGAUCCCUCUCGUGCGCGCGCUCUGUCUCUCUCACCCUCUCUCUCCGUGCAAAGUGCAAGACCGAGGUGCAGGCCGGCUGGAGGCAAGGGAGGGGGGAGUUUAGUUCUUUCUUGCCUUUUUUUUUUGGUUUUGGCUUUUUUUUUUUUUUAAAGAAAAAAAAAAAAGCAAGAUUGCAAAGUCCUGGGCCAAGGCGAGGCCGAGAGCGAAAGGGUGGGGGGAGAGGCCGAGCGGACUAGCAGCCCGAGCUACAGCUCCAAGAUGAAAAAAGAUUUUAAAGCCUCUGAUCCAGCGAGAAGAGUUUAAAGCAAUUGCUGAGUUUUAUAGCACCCGUGACGUCAGACUCAAAUGGGAAAUUGACUGGCACUCUCCUCCAAUGGGAGGCAGCGAGAGCGGCCGCUAUUAGCAUAAUAGUAUAGAAACAAGGAAACUUUUCGGAGCUGUCAAUCACAGCCCAAUCAGCUGACUGUCAGCUGGGACAGGCUGGCUUAACCCUUGCGGCGCCGCUGCUCCGGUGCAGCCAGGGAGCAACAUCCCCCACCCCCGUCCCGCGCGAAGUUUAGUGCACCAGGGGACAGACAGAGUUUGGUAAAAGGGCGGCUGGAAUCCGGGAGGACCCGGGAGGACGGUUUGCUUUUCUUCGGAGCUCGGGAGAGGCCUGCCCUGCUGAGCUGCAACUCUGGCGCUGCAGAGAGCCUCCUGAACACGCCUGUCCCUUGCCGGUCCCGCACCCUGACAAGAGAGGGAUUCGAUGGAAGCUGGGAGUCCACAUGCAAUUCCAAUGUCUUUGGUUGCCUCCAAUGAUGGAUGAUGAGGGUCUCACCUCCUGUCAAGUUUGCCUUCUAUCCUGCCCAUCCAUUUUUUUCAAGAGUUUCUGAGGUCAUCAAAAUGCUGAUUGUUGGACCAGGAAGAUGGCUUAGUGGGUAAAAAGACUUGGCUAUGCAAGCUUGAUGAAUUAAGUUCAAUCCCCAGAACUCACUGUGAAAAAAAAGAACUGGCUCCUGAAGAUUGUCUUCUGGCCUCCAUGGGUAAGUUGGGCAUGUGCAUGCCCCUACACGCCACAACACACACACACACACACACACACACACACACACACACACACACACACCCUAAUA
Molecule: long non-coding RNA, 1534 nt
Organism: Peromyscus leucopus (white-footed mouse)
Lineage: Eukaryota; Metazoa; Chordata; Mammalia; Rodentia; Cricetidae
Exons: 2
Source: RefSeq, a predicted model, not a curated record